UGCCAGACUCCUACGGGAGGCAGCAGUGGGGGAUAUUGCACAAUGGGGGAAACCCUGAUGCAGCGACGCCGCGUGAGUGAAGAAGUAUUUCGGUAUGUAAAGCUCUCUCAGCAGGGACGAAAAUGACGGUACCUGAGUAAGAAGCCCCGGCUAACUACGUGCCAGCAGCCGCGGUAAUACGUAGGGGGCAAGCGUUAUCCGGAAUUACUGGGUGUAAAGGGAGCGUAGACGGUGAAGUAAGUCUGGAGUGAAAGGCGGGGGCCCAACCCCCGGACUGCUCUGGAAACUAUUUGACUGGAGUGCAGGAGAGGUAAGCGGAAUUCCUAGUGUAGCGGUGAAAUGCGUAGAUAUUAGGAGGAACACCAGUGGCGAAGGCGGCUUACUGGACUGUAACUGACGUUGAGGCUCGAAAGCGUGGGGAGCAAACAGGAUUAGAUACCCCGGUACUA
This 449-nucleotide ribosomal RNA is filed under the name uncultured bacterium. RNAcentral's name for it is "bacterial SSU rRNA". It matches the Rfam family "Bacterial small subunit ribosomal RNA", at positions 329 to 797 of the family's 1533-position model. The record is from RNAcentral.